UUAGAAUUUCUCAAUGUUAGUGAAUUGAAGUACUGUCACUUGCUUUUGGACAGUCGAACAGAACAGACGUGGUUGCGAGAGCUCUCAUAUCUGUUGUGUUAAACUGUUUUUAUGAUAUGUUAUGUUUGUUUGUUUGUUUGUGAUGUACUAUUUUUCAGAUGCUGAUGGCAGUGAUGGGUUUUCAAGCUGACCUGAACAGAAAAGCACUCAUAUGGUAAGUACAAAAUAGUUGUUAUAUGGGAUGUUUUGUGCAUGCUUUUAUGUUUCAGGUGUACUUGCUGACAGCGACGAAGACGAAUCAAGAAGAGGAACAUUGUUCAGAAAGUGAUUGGGACUUGCAAACAGGGUAAGUGUAACACUUGUGUUUGUUUAAUUUGUAACAUGCGUGCUUUGCUCUGUUUCAGAUUUCACAUGCAGAAAUUAAACAGGAUUUCAACUGCUGAGACACAAUUCAUCAAAAGUAAGGUAAGUUUUAAUUCAUUGAUUUGAGUUGUACAAUGUGUUCUUUACUUUAUUUCAGAUUCGAGUCACUGGUUUACACAUGGAAGAAGAUUUCCACGUCGGUUACUCAACUCUACAGAAGCAAGGUAAGUCGAUCAAAUUUUUGUUUUCAUUUGUACUGCUGUAAUGUGAUAGUAAACUUAUGCUAUUUUUCAUGUGUGUCAUGUACAGAUGGAUAAUUCAAAAUUGAUCUGUGUUGGUUUAUGUUCAAAAACGUUUUACAUGUAUGUGUGUUUGAAGAUGUUUUGUUUCAGUGGAUGUCCAGAUGGCAAGCAGAACAGACGUGUUUCUUGGAGCUGCCAAACAGUGAGUACAAACGUUUUAUAUUUUUCAGUUGUUUACUCAUAGAAGUCUGUGAAAGAUGAUAACAAGGGUUGAAUUGCACAGUACUUGUGUCUAAAAAUGCUGAUGUGUGACGGUUUACUGAAAAGGGUAAAUGCUAGCCAGUACUAACACUUGAGCAACCGUGGGAUGUCGAACUAACUGAUGAUGUACUAUGAUGGUGAACACUUACUUUGUGUAUCGAAAUGCUUUUGUUGAUAUUUACUAAAUAUUGAUUGACAUUUGUUUGCAUGCUGUUAACAUUUCUAUUUCAUUUCAGUUGGCUGUGGUGAGUAUUGUAAUAUACAUUUGUUUCAAUAAAUCAUGAUGAAUGAACACUGAUUUCGAUUCUUUUUUACAGUUUUAGGGAUUAUCACUCUAUAACAACUCUGUCGGUUGGUGUUCGUGAAUGUGAGCUUAAUGUUUGAGUAGUACAAAAAUGUCUUUACUUUUGUGAUCGCCAGUUGUCUGUGAUGUAAAGUGGAAAAAACACAGCUAUGAAGCAUACAAUUGUUUCAAUAUUUUAUCAAUGAUAGUGUGCUAUGCAUGUUUUGAUUUAGUUCGUUUCAGAUACGACAUGACAUGAAGAGUUGACAGUCGAACAGAGCUGAGCAAAGCAGAAAGGUAAGUGUGUUUCAUUUUAGUAUGGACACUUGUAUUUUGUUUUUAUAUGGUAUGUUUUGUGCAUGCUAUGUUUCAGGUGUACUUGUAGUCAGCGACGAAGACGAUUCAAGAAGAGGAACAUUGCUGAGAAAGUGAAUGGGACUUGCAAACAGGGUAAGUGUUACAAUUGUUUGUUUGAUUUUUACCAUGCAUACUUUGCUUUGCUCUGUUUCAGAUUUCACAUGCAGAAAUGGUCUCAUAGCAGUGCCAACAGUGAAUAAGGAUUUCAGCUGCUGUGAAACAACUCAACAGAAAGUAGGUAAGCAUUGAAUGAAUGCACUUGAGUUGUACAAUUUGAUGUGAUGCUUUUCUCUGUUUCAGAUUCAAGUUCCUGGUGUAGACAGAGAAAUGUGUUUGAAGAAGGAAUUCUACUACUGUGAUUCAACUCUACAGAAGCAAGGUAAGUAGAAACAAAAUUUUGGUUUAAUUUAACUCAUGUGUUUUGCACUGCAUGCUAUUUUUCAGGUCUCUCAUGCAGUGAUGGAAAAGAAGAAGAUUUCAAGAAAGAAUCACUGCUGCAACUCAGGCCUAUAACAAGGUAAGUGUUUACUAUAUUGUAUACAAAAUGUUUCUCUGUUUUACUCUGUUUCAGGUUUCAAUUGCAGAGAUGUUGCAGAGAUGUUUUGACAGCUUGUGGCAGAAAAGAAAUUCAGCAUCUGUUUCUCGACUCUAGCCACGAGGUAAGUCAAAACAAAUAUACUGGUUUGUAUGUAAUGUUGUUAUGCCCUUCUAUGUUUCAGACUUACAUUGCUGUGACUGUUCCACAGUGGGUCAAAAAAGAGACGAAUACAGGUUUCAAGAAGAAAAUUGGCUGUUAAAAACCUGCACAAAAUAUGAGGUAAGUAAACUACUCUUUUGGUUUGUUUUGUGCUUUGUUAUGCUUAACUAUUUUUCAGAUUGGAAUGGUGGGUCGUUACAGAGCAGACUUUUGGACUACUGAGAAGUUGAGAAACAGAGAAUGAUUCAAGAUCAGCUAGGUAAGUCUUGAUUAUUAUGCAUUGCUAAAUGUUUUUUUCAUUCCAGUAUGGCUGUGGUAAGUACACAAACUUUCUAUAAUUUAAUAUUGAACUGUUUUUAUGACCUGUAUUCUGCAUUGUAAAAUGUCUGUUUUUCAUUUCAGUAUCCUGUGGUAAGUACACUAACUUUGUAUAAUUUCAUAUUGAAAUGUUUUGAUGACUUGUAUCCUGCUAUGCAAUGCUUAAUAUAUUUUUCAUUUCAGUGUGGCUGUGGUAAGUACACUAACUUUCUUUUCUUUUUCAUAUUGAACUGUUUUGGUGACUUGUAUUCUGCUAUACAAAAUGUGUUUUUUUCAUUUCAGUUGCCUGUGGUAAGUACAAUUGCCUUCUUUAAUUUUCAUAUUGAACUGUUUUGAUGACUUGUAUACUGCAUUGUAAAAUGUGUUUCUUUUUCAUUUCAGUAUGGCUGUGGUAAGUACAAUUGCCUUCUUUAAUUUUCAUAUUGAACUGUUUUGAUGACUUUUAUUCUGCCAUACAAAAUGUGUUUUUUUUUCAUUUCAGUUGCCUGUUGGUAAGUACAAUUUGCUUUCUUUAAUUGCAUAUUGAAAUAUGUUUUAUGACUUUUAUUCUGCUAUGCUUUUUUCAUUUCAGUUUGGCAGAUGUAAGUACACUUCAUUUAUGUAAAAACUGAAUAUGAUUGUUGUGCUAUACAAAAUGUGCUUUUUUCAAUUUCAGGUCAGCAAUGGUAAGUAGAUUGUGUUUCUUUAUGUAUAAUUUUGUAUACAUAUUGUUUUUUUCAUCAUAGCAUGUCUUUUAUAUUUAUGCUUUGUGUAAGUAAAAUGUUCAUAAAUCAUUCUUAUCUUCAAACUAAAAAUGUAUUGUGCUAUGCAAAAUGUCUGUAUGAUUUCAGUUGCCAGAGGUGAGUACCAUUACAGUUGAAAAGUUAGUUUUGUUUAGUUAAAGUUUUGGUUCACAGUUCUGUUUAUUAUUUGGCAAAAUUUACAUGUAUGCAUUGAGUCUUGAUUUCAGCUCGAUUGUGGACUGAAGAAGAUUGCCAGCAGAGGGAUUGGAUACAAAAUACAAAGUAAGUACUGAGUUUCUUACUAAAAGUGUUGAGUUGUAUUCAUUGUGUGUUAAUAUGCUAUGAUUGCUAUGAACAUGACUUUUGUAUUUCAGCGAAGACAACAUAGGUAAGUAAAAUUGUUAUCUGUUUCAAGUUUACUGUUAUAGUUCAAUAUUGUGUUUAUAAAUUGUAAGUUGUACAAACACAUUCAAAAGUUUCUGAUCAUGCUUUCAAUUUCAUUUCAGCCCUACUACAAGACGAGUGUUUUCUACUACUAGACGAGUCAGCUUUACUACCAGGCGAGCAGUGACAACAAGGCGCCUUUGUGGAAACAGCAAAACAAACAACUCUACUGCAAGACGAGCAGUAACAGCAAGGCGCCUGAACAUGCAACACAAUACAAAAAAUGCCAAUUUGCAAACCUUGAUGUGGACACCGAGUAGUCAAUACAUACGUGUGGCGUAUAGCUGCGACAAAACCGUGGGUCCAUCGCACCGAUAACUUGAACAUUGGCCCGUGUAUGGACAUCAGUGCAACUUUGUGAAUCCGUGUAUCUUUGUGAAUCCAUGUAACAUUGCGAAUGUGUGUCGAUCGAAAAAUGUGUACAUUCUGAACUGAAACGAACUCGGUGUUGCAAGUGGCAAGUGUUGACAGUGUGUAUGUUUAUGUUUAUGUUUUUACAUGAAAACUAAAGGAGAUUGUUCUCCUACCUUUUUUUUCCUUGUUUUAUUGCGCUGGCCAGCAAUAUUGAUGUAUUGAUGUAUGUGUUUGUGUUUAAACUAUGCAAUACCAAAAUCAAACAAAAAAUAAACAUUAACAGUCAUUAACUGUGUUUGGGCGGCCGAGGGGUUUAAGACUCCACAAGUGUGAAGCGCACUGAUAGCACUUGGGGGUGAACACCUCGGUAUUUCGGUGCUAAAAUGUUUUCACGGUGCUUAUCUUGACGCACUGUUAAGACUACCAACCAGUUAAUGAUUGCUUCAUCUUUAAACAAAAAGUAAGUCUCUACUUUGGCACAAGAGACUCCAAGUACCAAAUACCAACAAUUAAAAAGCAGACGUUUUUCAAAACUAUGAUCGCUGAGAUUGAUAGUCAGAUGGAGUCCUGCCCAGUUAGCUGUGUAGCGGUCUAGGGCGGGGUUGCAAGUCAAUACGAAAUGAGGCGCUAUAAAGCAACUCGUCCCCGUUAUGACCGUCAAUACUUUCGACACUAUCUGGGAAUCCUUUCAACACCACAUUGUUGCGCUGUUGGAAGGGUGGUAGGCACGCAUGGUGACAUGCCUGUGCUUUGCUAUGCGACACCAUGGUAUUUUCGUACGGUGACACGAAAUAUCUUAAUCUGGCUCUCUCAGAAACGCAGGCACGCGUUGACCGAACCUGACCGAUGACCGAGCAAUAACAUUUCUAUUAAGUGCUUCAAUGCACAAAGUCUGCUAGGCUGGGUGGGAA
Dreissena polymorpha is the source of this 4952-nucleotide long non-coding RNA. RefSeq lists it as uncharacterized. NCBI's taxonomy places the organism in Eukaryota, Metazoa, Mollusca, Bivalvia, Myida, Dreissenidae. The transcript has 3 exons. The record is from RefSeq and is a predicted model, not a curated record.